CCUACGGGUGGCAGCAGUAAGGAAUAUUGGUCAAUGGACGCAAGUCUGAACCAGCCAUGCCGCGUGAAGGAUGAAGGUCCUCUGGAUUGUAAACUUCUUUUAUCUGGGACGAAAAAAGGGAAUUCUUUCUCACUUGACGGUACCAGAGGAAUAAGCACCGGCUAACUCCGUGCCAGCAGCCGCGGUAAUACGGAGGGUGCAAGCGUUAUCCGGAUUCACUGGGUUUAAAGGGUGCGUAGGUGGGCAGGUAAGUCAGUGGUGAAAUCUCCGGGCUUAACUCGGAAACUGCCAUUGAUACUAUCUGUCUUGAAUAUCCUGGAGGUGAGCGGAAUAUGUCAUGUAGCGGUGAAAUGCUUAGAUAUGACAUAGAACACCAAUUGCGAAGGCAGCUCGCUACGGGAAAAUUGACACUGAGGCACGAAAGCGUGGGGAUCAAACAGGAUUAGAUACCCCAGUAGUC
RNAcentral lists this ribosomal RNA (460 nucleotides) under uncultured Bacteroidota bacterium. Its description in RNAcentral is "bacterial SSU rRNA". It matches the Rfam family "Bacterial small subunit ribosomal RNA", at positions 338 to 795 of the family's 1533-position model. The record is from RNAcentral. Lineage: Bacteria; Pseudomonadati; Bacteroidota.